Molecule: ribosomal RNA, 468 nt
Filed under: uncultured bacterium
Lineage: Bacteria
Description: partial 16S ribosomal RNA
Rfam family: Bacterial small subunit ribosomal RNA
Source: RNAcentral
GACGAACGCUGGCGGCGUGCUUAACACAUGCAAGUCGAACGGAAAGGCCCUGCUUUUGUGGGGUGCCCGAGUGGCGAACGGGUGAGUAACACGUGAGUAACCUGCCCUUGACUUUGGGAUAACUUCAGGAAACUGGGGCUAAUACCGGAUAGGAGCUCCUGCUGCAUGGUGGGGGUUGGAAAGUUUCGGCGGUUGGGGAUGGACUCGCGGCUUAUCAGCUUGUUGGUGGGGUAGUGGCUUACCAAGGCUUUGACGGGUAGCCGGCCUGAGAGGGUGACCGGCCACAUUGGGACUGAGAUACGGCCCAGACUCCUACGGGAGGCAGCAGUGGGGAAUAUUGCACAAUGGGCGGAAGCCUGAUGCAGCAACGCCGCGUGCGGGAUGACGGCCUUCGGGUUGUAAACCGCUUUCGCCUGUGACGAAGCGUGAGUGACGGUAACGGGUAAAGAAGCACCGGCUAACUACGUG